This 173-nucleotide ribosomal RNA is filed under the name uncultured Weissella sp. Its description in RNAcentral is "partial 16S ribosomal RNA". It matches the Rfam family "Bacterial small subunit ribosomal RNA", at positions 390 to 555 of the family's 1533-position model. The record is from RNAcentral. Lineage: Bacteria; Bacillati; Bacillota; Bacilli; Lactobacillales; Lactobacillaceae.
AGCAACGCCGCGUGUGUGAUGAAGGGUUUCGGCUCGUAAAACACUGUUGUAAGAGAAGAAUGACAUUGAGAGUAACUGUUCUGUGUGUGACGGUAUCUUACCAGAAAGGAACGGCUAAAUACGUGCCAGCAGCCGCGGUAAUACGUAUGUUCCAAGGCUUAUCCGGAUUUAUU